UCCGAUAUGGUCUAGUGGCUAGGAUCACCCGCUCUCAUAACAGAGCACGUGCCGGGUAGGCCCGGGUUCGAUUCCCGGUAUCGGAA
Transfer RNA from Verruconis gallopava, 86 nucleotides. It matches the Rfam family "tRNA". From Rfam's summary of the family: Transfer RNA (tRNA) molecules are approximately 80 nucleotides in length. Their secondary structure includes four short double-helical elements and three loops (D, anti-codon, and T loops). Lineage: Eukaryota; Fungi; Ascomycota; Dothideomycetes; Venturiales; Sympoventuriaceae. The record is from Rfam.